UACGAAGGGUGCAAGCGUUACUCGGAAUUACUGGGCGUAAAGCGUGCGUAGGCGGUUCGUUAAGUCCGAUGUGAAAGCCCUGGGCUCAACCUGGGAACUGCAUUGGAAACUGGCGGGCUGGAGUGCGGUAGAGGGUGGCGGAAUUCCCGGUGUAGCAGUGAAAUGCGUAGAUAUCGGGAGGAACAUCCGUGGCGAAGGCGGCCACCUGGACCAGCACUGACGCUGAGGCACGAAAGCGUGGGGAGCAAACAGG
RNAcentral lists this ribosomal RNA (253 nucleotides) under uncultured bacterium. RNAcentral's name for it is "partial 16S ribosomal RNA". It matches the Rfam family "Bacterial small subunit ribosomal RNA", at positions 524 to 776 of the family's 1533-position model. The record is from RNAcentral.